RNAcentral lists this transfer RNA (75 nucleotides) under Kosmotoga sp. RNAcentral's name for it is "tRNA-Thr". It matches the Rfam family "tRNA". Rfam says of the family: Transfer RNA (tRNA) molecules are approximately 80 nucleotides in length. Their secondary structure includes four short double-helical elements and three loops (D, anti-codon, and T loops). Further hydrogen bonds mediate the characteristic L-shaped molecular structure. tRNAs have two regions of fundamental functional importance: the anti-codon, which is responsible for specific mRNA codon recognition, and the 3' end, to which the tRNAs corresponding amino acid is attached (by aminoacyl-tRNA synthetases). tRNAs cope with the degeneracy of the genetic code in two manners: having more than one tRNA (with a specific anti-codon) for a particular amino acid; and 'wobble' base-pairing, i.e. permitting non-standard base-pairing at the 3rd anti-codon position. The record is from RNAcentral. Lineage: Bacteria; Thermotogati; Thermotogota; Thermotogae; Kosmotogales; Kosmotogaceae. RNAcentral also lists the same sequence under 2 other names.
GCCAACGUAGCUCAACGGAAGAGCGGCUGAUUUGUAAUCAGCAGGUUGGGGGUUCGAGUCCCUUCGUUGGCUCCA